CAGCAGCCGCGGUAAUACAGAGGGUGCGAGCGUUAAUCGGAUUUACUGGGCGUAAAGCGUGCGUAGGCGGCUUCUUAAGUCGGAUGUGAAAUCCCUGAGCUUAACUUAGGAAUUGCAUUCGAUACUGGGAAGCUAGAGUAUGGGAGAGGAUGGUAUAAUUCCAUGUGUAGCGGUGAAAUGCGUAGAGAUCUGGAGGAAUACCGAUGGCGAAGGCAGCCAUCUGGCCUAAUACUGACGCUGAGGUACGAAAGCAUGGGGAGCAAACAGGAUUAGAUACCCCGGUAGUCCCUGUCUCUUAUAC
This 301-nucleotide ribosomal RNA is filed under the name uncultured bacterium. RNAcentral describes it as "partial 16S ribosomal RNA". It matches the Rfam family "Bacterial small subunit ribosomal RNA", at positions 509 to 807 of the family's 1533-position model. The record is from RNAcentral.